UCAAUUUUGAUUUCAGCUUCUUCCCUAUGUGUUUACUUUACAGUUGCUAUACUCCUAUUUACUUUGUUGUUCAUGUUCUGAAAUGAAUGUGCUACUUUCUCUUUGCAUUUGUUGUUCGUCAUGAAUUUCCCAUACCCUCACCCCUCCUAUGUGUGUGAGUUAAGGCUCAUGGCCCGACAAUAUCCAUAUUGCUGCCCAGGUCUGAACCAUAUCCACAAUGGAUCCUAACUCCUAGGAUUGAGCUAACAGGCUAGUUAGAGGUGUGCCAGCACUCCUAGUUGAUGGGCAUGACCACCACCCUACCAUGGCUUUCCCUAAUUCCCUCUUUAUGCACUUGCACUUACUCUUAGACGCUAAGCUAUGCCCCCUUCUUAUGCGCCUUGAUUUGGGACCUUGAGUUCCCUCUAAACUUGGACAUUUGAGGACUGGCCAUU
Molecule: long non-coding RNA, 434 nt
Filed under: Nicotiana benthamiana
Lineage: Eukaryota; Viridiplantae; Streptophyta; Magnoliopsida; Solanales; Solanaceae
Description: long non-coding RNA (NBEN_LNC006463)
Source: RNAcentral